Molecule: ribosomal RNA, 450 nt
Filed under: uncultured Glomus
Lineage: Eukaryota; Fungi; Glomeromycota; Glomeromycetes; Glomerales; Glomeraceae
Description: SSU rRNA
Rfam family: Eukaryotic small subunit ribosomal RNA
Source: RNAcentral
AGCAGCCGCGGUAAUUCCAGCUCCAAUAGCGUAUAUUAAAGUUGUUGCAGUUAAAAAGCUCGUAGUUGAAUUUCGGGAUCAAUAUACCGGUCGUGCCUCAGGUAUGAACUGGUCUUAUUGGUUUCUCCCUUCUGACGAACCAUGAUGUCAUUAAUUUGAUGUCGUGGAGAAUCAGGACUGUUACUUUGAAAAAUUAGAGUGUUUAAAGCAGGCUAACGCUUGAAUACAUUAGCAUGGAAUAAUGAAAUAGGACGUUCGAUCCUAUUUUGUUGGUUUCUAGGAUCGACGUAAUGAUUAAUAGGGAUAGUUGGGGGCAUUAGUAUUCAAUUGUCAGAGGUGAAAUUCUUGGAUUUAUUGAAGACUAACUACUGCGAAAGCAUUUGCCAAGGAUGUUUUCAUUAAUCAAGAACGAAAGUUAGGGGAUCGAAGACGAUCAGAUACCGUCGUAGU